CCUACGGGUGGCAGCAGUGGGGAAUAUUGGGCAAUGGGCGCAAGCCUGACCCAGCAACGCCGCGUGAAGGAUGAAGGCCUUCGGGUUGUAAACUUCUUUUCUCAGGGACGAAGCAAGUGACGGUACCUUAGGAAUAAGCCUCGGCUAACUACGUGCCAGCAGCCGCGGUAAUACGUAGGGGGCAAGCGUUAUCCGGAUUGACUGGGGGUAAAGGGUGUGUAGGUGGGUAGGCAAGUCAGAUGUGAAAACCAUGGGCUCAACCUGUGGCCUGCAUCUGAAACUGUUUGACUUGAGUGCUGGAGAGGCAGACGGAAUUCCUGGUGUAGCGGUGAAAUGCGUAGAUAUUAGGAGGAACACCAGUGGCGAAGGCGGUCUGCUGGACUGCAACUGACGCUGAGGCGCGAAAGCGUGGGGAGCAAACAGGAUUAGAUACCCUGGUAGUC
This 443-nucleotide ribosomal RNA is filed under the name uncultured bacterium. Its description in RNAcentral is "partial 16S ribosomal RNA". It matches the Rfam family "Bacterial small subunit ribosomal RNA", at positions 338 to 795 of the family's 1533-position model. The record is from RNAcentral.